Long non-coding RNA from Suricata suricatta (meerkat), 308 nucleotides. RefSeq lists it as uncharacterized. Lineage: Eukaryota; Metazoa; Chordata; Mammalia; Carnivora; Herpestidae. The transcript is spliced from 2 exons. The record is from RefSeq and is a predicted model, not a curated record.
GAUAAAGACACUGGAUUUCCUACCCAAGGAUAUCAACUGCCUUACCCAAGUCCUUAGGAAUAAACUUGAUCCAUUAACCCAGAAGGCAAAGGUAAGGAUGACUUCCAAACUUGAAAAAACAUCAUACCACUGAGUGAGUAAAGACCUAUCUAACUUCAAGAAUAUCCUGAAGUCUUUGGAUACAAAACAAGCAGAAAUGGUUGGUUGCCACGCUUACAUGAAAGGCUCCUAAAAGAAGCAGCGCCAUUAAGGUUUCAUCACCUCCAACUGACCACCAUGUAUUAUUAAGUAAAGACCAUACAACCCAA